AAUUUACCAGCCAGCGCUGGUGCAUUCGACCUCUGCGCAACGAGAUACAAUUGGUGAGCGCCGCUCUUGUUGGGCUCUGGCCAGCUCUUCGGGCAGCCGGGGGUGUCUGUCGGGAGCCCCCCGGCCGGUUCCCGGGAGGGAUGCACGGGAGGAGUCCCGGGGUCCCGGGGGACUCCUCGGCCGCUCUCCGUGGUGCUGCAGCCGCCGCCCGCGGUGCCUCCUGCGGGAGGGCAGGAUCCCCUUCCCCGGGAGCACGGCCGGCCGUGCCGCUAACUCCUCCCUUCGGAUGCAAGGGCUGCACCGCCACAAGCCAUCCUCUCGCCGCCCCCCUCCUUCUCCUUUCUCCCGUUUCGACAGAGCGAGCGGGCUUGCUCUGCCUGCGCGGCGGCGGCUGCCCACCGCGGACCCCGUGGGCUUGGGGCGGGUGCUUUAAUUUUGGCAGGACCUGCCCGCCGCCCUUCCCGGAUAAACUUGGGCCGGCGCCCCCCGGCACCGCGUUUUGGGGCUGGUGGGCUCCCGGCUGCCUGCGGGGAUGCCCAGCAUCCAAUAAUGCAAUGGCUGGAAGACCACAACGUGUCAGAUUAACUGGGUGGACACAUUGGAUAUUAGCAACAAUUCUGCUGCUGUGGAGUUACCAGAUCAGUGGACAAGGCUUGAUUGUGCUUGGAUAUCUUCUGAGGCAGACUGCAUGGUGUCAGCCAGCAUAGACUCUAGAGGAAUGCAGGAGCUGCAAGUCUAACCUGGUGAAAUCCUUUGCUUCCUUUUGGCUUGCUCAAAUUCCCUUAUUGUAUUUUUGUCUGGUAUUCUUGUCGUGAGCAAGUGCGUGGAUCAGCAGCCAGAUCUUGCCCUCAGCACCUUCUCCCGUGGCCCCAGUGCUGUCACAUUUGGUUGUUCUCUUUUGUUGCUGCCCAUGAGUGCAGCCCUGGUAGGGUCAACUGGGAGCAUAUCCAAACCUGUUACAGCUCAUUGCCCUUGAUACUGCUCGGCAGGAAGGAAUGGAGUGGGACAGCUGUUAGCUUCAUUGCAUUGCAGUAUUCCCCUGAACCAUCACAGCUCAUAAAACCCACUUUCUUUUCUUGCCUUUUAACACAGAAGCUUAGCAUUAAAUUAGGCAGCUAAGGCCCGGUAUUCUUGUGGGCUUUUAAGGAACACUCACUUAAAUAUGCAUUCAUUUUCAGAUGUAUAGGGAAGCCAAAUAUUAGUGCAUAUCGCUACACAGGAAUGUUAGAAGUUAUUGUAAUACUUACUAGUUUAGGAUAUUUGAACUACUUAAUUCAUUUCCUUGCUCAGAAAAUAAAAAAUAAGGAAAGAAUAGAGAAAAAAAAUCU
This 1328-nucleotide long non-coding RNA is filed under the name Anas platyrhynchos platyrhynchos (common mallard). RNAcentral describes it as "lncRNA (ENSAPLG00000024777.1)". The record is from RNAcentral. Lineage: Eukaryota; Metazoa; Chordata; Aves; Anseriformes; Anatidae.